GACGAACGCUGGCGGCGUGCUUAACACAUGCAAGUCGAACGCUGAAGCUUGGUGCUUGCACUGGGUGGAUGAGUGGCGAACGGGUGAGUAAUACGUGAGUAACCUGCCCUUGACUCUGGGAUAAGCCUGGGAAACUGGGUCUAAUACUGGAUACGACAUGUCACCGCAUGGUGGUGUGUGGAAAGGGUUUUACUGGUUUUGGAUGGGCUCACGGCCUAUCAGCUUGUUGGUGGGGUAAUGGCUCACCAAGGCGACGACGGGUAGCCGGCCUGAGAGGGUGACCGGCCACACUGGGACUGAGACACGGCCCAGACUCCUACGGGAGGCAGCAGUGGGGAAUAUUGCACAAUGGGCGGAAGCCUGAUGCAGCGACGCCGCGUGAGGGAUGACGGCCUUCGGGUUGUAAACCUCUUUCAGCACGGAAGAAGCGAAAGUGACGGCACGUGCAGAAGAAGCGCCGGCUAACUACGUG
This 472-nucleotide ribosomal RNA is filed under the name uncultured bacterium. RNAcentral describes it as "partial 16S ribosomal RNA". It matches the Rfam family "Bacterial small subunit ribosomal RNA", at positions 28 to 507 of the family's 1533-position model. The record is from RNAcentral.